Molecule: ribosomal RNA, 430 nt
Filed under: Verrucomicrobiota bacterium
Lineage: Bacteria; Pseudomonadati; Verrucomicrobiota
Description: Verrucomicrobia bacterium partial 16S ribosomal RNA
Rfam family: Bacterial small subunit ribosomal RNA
Source: RNAcentral
UAGGGAAUCUUCGGCAAUGGGGGGAACCCUGACCGAGCAACGCCGCGUGAGUGAAGAAGGUUUUCGGAUCGUAAAGCUCUGUUGUUAAGGAAGAACGAGUGUGAGAAUGGAAAGUUCAUGCUGUGACGGUACUUAACCAGAAAGGGACGGCUAACUACGUGCCAGCAGCCGCGGUAAUACGUAGGUCCCGAGCGUUGUCCGGAUUUAUUGGGCGUAAAGCGCGCGCAGGUGGUUUAGAAAGUCUGAUGUGAAAGCCCACGGCUCAACCGUGGAGGGGCAUUGGAAACUAAGAAACUUGAGUGCAGGAGAGAAAAGUGGAAUUCCUAGUGUAGCGGUGAAAUGCGUAGAGAUUAGGAGGAACACCGGUGGCGAAAGCGGCUUUAUGGCCUGCAGCUGACACGGAGGCGCGAAAGCGUGGGGAGCAAACAGG